RNAcentral lists this long non-coding RNA (949 nucleotides) under Homo sapiens (human). RNAcentral's name for it is "non-protein coding lnc-OR13C9-1:1". Lineage: Eukaryota; Metazoa; Chordata; Mammalia; Primates; Hominidae. The record is from RNAcentral.
AUGGGAAACUCUAAUCAGUCUUUCAUGACAGAAUUUGUCCUGCUGGGGCUUUCUGGCUACCCAGAGCUAGAGGCCAUUUACUUUGUGCUGGUCCUAUGUAUGUAUUUGGUGAUCCUGUUGGGAAAUGGAGUCAUCAUCAUUGUGAGUGUUUAUGACACCCACUUGCACACCCCCAUGUACUUUUUCCUCAGUAACUUAUCAUUCUUGGACAUCUGCUACACUAGUUCAUCUAUUCCACUAUUUCUCAGCAGCUUCUUAACGUCAAAGAAAACUAUUUCCUUCUCUGGGUGUGGAGUGCAAAUGUUUCUCUCUUUUGCUAUGGGAGCAACAGAGUGUGUCCUUCUAAGUAUGAUGGCGUUUGACUGCUAUGUGGCCAUCUGUAACCCUCUAUGAUACCCUAUCAUCAUGAGCAAGGCUUCAUACAUGUCCAUGGCUGCGGGGUCCUGGAUUGGAGGAGGCAUCAAUUCUGUGUUGCAAACCUCCCUUGCAAUGCGGCUUCCUUUCUGUGGAGAUAACGUCAUUAAUCAUUUUACUUGUGAAAUCUUGGCUGUCUUAAAAUUGGCCUGUGCUAAUAUCUCCAUAAAUAUUAUUAGCAUGGUUGUUGCUAGUAUGAUUUUUCUUGUAGGGCCAGUACUUUUUAUUUUUGUUACAUAUGUUUUUAUUCUCUCCACCAUCCUGAGAAUUCCUUCUGCAGAAGGAAGGCACAAAGCCUCCUCCACCUGCUCUGCCCACCUAACAGUGGUGAUUAUAUUCUACAGAACCAUCCUUUUCAUGUAUGCAAAGCCCAAGGCUAAAGACUCUUCUGGUGCAGACAAAGAACAAGUCACAGACAAAAUCAUCUCCCUGUUCUAUGGAGUGGUGACACCUAUGCUUAAUCCUCUUAUCUAUAGUUUGAGGAACAAAGACGUGAAGGCAGCUGUGAAGAGUAUACUGUGACAAAAAUGCUUCU